GGCGACGAUCAGUAGCUGGUCUGAGAGGAUGAGCAGCCACACUGGGACUGAGACACGGCCCAGACUCCUACGGGAGGCAGCAGUGGGGAAUUUUCCGCAAUGGGCGCAAGCCUGACGGAGCAAUACCGCGUGAGGGAGGAAGGUCCUUGGAUUGUAAACCUCUUUUAUCAGGGGAGAAAAAAAUGACGGUACCUGAUGAAUAAGCAUCGGCUAACUCCGUGCCAGCAGCCGCGGUAAUACGGAGGAUGCAAGCGUUAUCCGGAAUUAUUGGGCGUAAAGCGUCCGUAGGUGGUCAUGCAAGUCUGCCGUUAAAGAAUGGAGCUUAACUCCAUAGGAGCGGUGGAAACUGCAAGACUAGAGUACAGUAGGGGUAGCAGGAAUUCCCAGUGUAGCGGUGAAAUGCGUAGAUAUUGGGAAGAACAUCGGUGGCGAAAGCGUGCUACUGGGCUGAAACUGACACUGAGGGACGAAAGCUAGGGUAGCGAAAGGGAUUAGAUACCCCUGUAGUCCUAGCCGUAAACGAUGGAUACUAGGCGUGGCUUGUAUCGACCCGAGCCGUGCCGAAGCUAACGCGUUAAGUAUCCCGCCUGGGGAGUACGCACGCAAGUGUGAAACUCAAAGGAAUUGACGGGGGCCCGCACAAGCGGUGGAGUAUGUGGUUUAAUUCGAUGCAACGCGAAGAACCUUACCAAGGCUUGACAUCCCUGGAAUCUUGCAGAAAUGCGAGAGUGCCUUAGGGAGCCAGGAGACAGGUGGUGCGUGGCUGUCGUCAGCUCGUGUCGUGAGAUGUUGGGUUAAGUCCCGCAACGAGCGCAACCCUCGUUUUUAGUUGCCAUCAUUAAGUUGGGCACUCUAGAGAGACUGCCGGUGACAAACCGGAGGAAGGUGGGGAUGACGUCAAGUCAUCAUGCCCCUUACGCCUUGGGCUACACACGUACUACAAUGGUCGGGACAACGGGCAGCUAAACCGCGAGGUCAAGCGAAUCCCAUCAGACCCGGCCUCAGUUCAGAUUGCAGGCUGCAACUCGCCUGCAUGAAGGAGGAAUCGCUAGUAAUCGCAGGUCAGAAUACUGCGGUGAAUUCGUUCCCGGGCCUUGUACACACCGCCCGUCACACCAUGGGAGCUGGUCACGCCCGAAGUCGUUACUCUAACCGUUCGCGGAGGAGGGCGCCGAAGGCAGGGCUAGUGACU
Molecule: ribosomal RNA, 1192 nt
Filed under: metagenome
Description: bacterial SSU rRNA
Rfam family: Bacterial small subunit ribosomal RNA
Source: RNAcentral